AUCGUUCAUCUCCUCUGAUAUUGACCGGGUGCAUUCCCCCUCAGGCACCCCAGUUAGGAGACGGAAGUAGGGACACUCCCGAAGGAACGCGCC
This 93-nucleotide non-coding RNA is filed under the name Phormidium tenue. Its description in RNAcentral is "Glutamine-I sequence". It matches the Rfam family "Glutamine riboswitch aptamer (glnA leader)". Lineage: Bacteria; Bacillati; Cyanobacteriota; Cyanophyceae; Oscillatoriales; Oscillatoriaceae. The record is from RNAcentral. RNAcentral also lists the same sequence under 1 other name.